Notolabrus celidotus (New Zealand spotty) is the source of this 233-nucleotide long non-coding RNA. RefSeq lists it as uncharacterized. Lineage: Eukaryota; Metazoa; Chordata; Actinopteri; Labriformes; Labridae. The transcript is spliced from 2 exons. The record is from RefSeq and is a predicted model, not a curated record.
UCUGCUCCUCGCGCGCUCCACGGUCAUACACGGGCACGCGCUGGAUACCUGACGCGGGAGCGCGCAGCAGAGGAAAAAAGGAGUGCAGCGAACGUGAAUGUGGAUGGUUGUGUGAACACAGACUGAUUGACUGCUCGGUUGACAGACAAAGUUGCGUGCGUCUAUGGGAAAAACCACGCUUAAGUGAGUCCCAUGUUCUGAACUGUUGCAAUUCCGAAUAAAUCCUUGAAAGA